UUCCGGUUGAUCCUGCCGGACCUGACUGCUAUCGGAUUGAUACUAAGCCAUGUGAGUCAUUGUAGCAAUACAAGGCAGACGGCUCAGUAACACGUAGCCAAUCUAACCUAUGGACGGGGAUAACCUCGGGAAACUGAGGAUAAACCCCGAUAGAUCAUUAUGCCUGGAACGGUUUAUGGUCCAAACGAUUCGUCGCCAUAGGAUGAGACUGCGGCCUAUCAGCUUGUUGGUGAGGUAAUGGCCCACCAAGGCUAUUACAGGUACGGGCUCUGAGAGGAGAAGCCCGGAGAUGGGUACUGAGACACGGACCCAGGCCCUAUGGGGCGCAGCAGGCGAGAAACCUUUGCAAUGUGCGCAAGCACGACAAGGUUAAUCCGAGUGUUUCCUGCUAAGGGAAUCUUUUGCUAGUCCUAAAAACACUAGUGAAUAAGGGGUGGGCAAGUUCUGGUGUCAGCCGCCGCGGUAAAACCAGCACCUCAAGUUGUCAGGAGGAUUAUUGGGCCUAAAGCAUCCGUAGCCUGCUCUGUAAGUUUCCGGUUAAAUCCAUUUGCUCAACAAAUGGGCUGCCGGAAAAACUGCAAAGCUAGGGAGUGGGAGAGGUAGACGGUACUCGGUAGGAAGGGGUAAAAUCCUUUGAUCUAUUGAUGACCACCUGUGGCGAAGGCGGUCUACCAGAACACGUUCGACGGUGAGGGAUGAAAGCUGGGGGAGCAAACCGGAUUAGAUACCCGGGUAGUCCCAGCUGUAAACGAUGCAGACUCGGUGAUGCGCUGGCUUGUGGCCAGUGCAGUGCCGCAGGGAAGCCGUUAAGUUUGCCGCCUGGGAAGUACGUACGCAAGUAUGAAACUUAAAGGAAUUGGCGGGGGAGCACCACAAGGGUGAAGCCUGCGGUUCAAUUGGAGUCAACGCCGGA
This 913-nucleotide ribosomal RNA is filed under the name uncultured archaeon. RNAcentral's name for it is "bacterial SSU rRNA". It matches the Rfam family "Archaeal small subunit ribosomal RNA", at positions 1 to 922 of the family's 1478-position model. The record is from RNAcentral.